GGAAUGAACGCUAGCUACAGGCUUAACACAUGCAAGCGAGGGGCAGCAUGUGGUUGCUGCACCAAUGAUGGCGACCGGCGCACGGGUGAGUAACGCGUAUCCAACCUUCCCCUUAGUAGAGGAUAGCCCGGCGAAAGUCGGAUUAACACUCUAUGUUGUAUUUUUGAUGGCAUCUGACGAAUACCAAAGAUUUAUCGCUAAGGGAUGGGGAUGCGUCUGAUUAGGUUGCAGGCGGGGUAACGGCCCACCUGGCCUACGAUCAGUAGGGGUUCUGAGAGGAAGGUCCCCCACACUGGUACUGAGACACGGACCAGACUCCUACGGGAGGCAGCAGUGAGGAAUAUUGGUCAAUGGGCGCGAGCCUGAACCAGCCAAGUAGCGUGCCAGGACGACUGCCCUAUGGGUUGUAAACUGCUUUUAUCAGGGAAUAAAGUGAGGCACGCGUGCCUUUUUGUAUGUACCUGAUGAAUAAGGACCGGCUAAUUCCGUGCCAGCCGCCGC
This 501-nucleotide ribosomal RNA is filed under the name uncultured bacterium. RNAcentral's name for it is "bacterial SSU rRNA". It matches the Rfam family "Bacterial small subunit ribosomal RNA", at positions 27 to 518 of the family's 1533-position model. The record is from RNAcentral.